This 403-nucleotide ribosomal RNA is filed under the name uncultured bacterium. RNAcentral's name for it is "partial 16S ribosomal RNA". It matches the Rfam family "Bacterial small subunit ribosomal RNA", at positions 29 to 526 of the family's 1533-position model. The record is from RNAcentral.
AUUGAACGCUGGCGGCAGGCCUAACACAUGCAAGUCGAGCGAGCGGCGGACGGGUGAGUAAUGUAUGGGGACUGCCCGCUAGAGGGGGAUAACCACUGGAAACGGUAGCUAAUACCGCAUAUUAUCGGAUAACCCAUAUGGGAUUAGCUAGUGGGGGAGGUAAUGGCUCACCUAGGCGACGAUCCCUAGCUGGUCUGAGAGGAUGAGCAGCCAAACUGGGACGGAGACACGGCCCAGACUCCUACGGAGGAGGAAGUGGGGAGUAUUGCACAAUGGGGGAAAGCCGGAUGCAGCCAGGCCGCGUGUAUGAAGAAGGCCCUAGGGUGGUAAAGUACUUUGAGUCGGGAGGCGUUACCGAAAGAAGAAGGACCGGCUAACUCCGUGCCAGCAGCCGCGGUAAUAC